RNAcentral lists this long non-coding RNA (1192 nucleotides) under Homo sapiens (human). Its description in RNAcentral is "novel transcript". Lineage: Eukaryota; Metazoa; Chordata; Mammalia; Primates; Hominidae. The record is from RNAcentral.
GGGCGGGCUUGGAAAUGGAGACAAACUCCUCCGAGCCGUUAAGGCUCAGCCGGACAGGGCUUAGGAGUCCCGAGCCCAGUCCUGUUCACCCCCAUUUUAUAGAAAGGGAAACUGAGGCCCAGACAGGGGAAAGUCACUUGCCGAGGUGUUUGCUGCAGACUGCGUUGACCGAACCUGCUUUUUCACAGCAGUCAGACAGCAAGCCCUCCCGUCCCUCCAGGACCCUAGUUCCUGGGGAGGAAGGCGUUCUCAGCGAUAAUGACCAGCAUUAAAGUGCUCCCCGUUACCGGCGUCACUGCCCCAGCCAGUGGAGGCCCCGGAGAGGGACUGAAGAUGUGUCACCUAACUUCUCUGAACCUUCCUCCCUCAAGGAGAACUGAUAAUCCCUAACUCACAGUUCUGUGAGGAUUGAAUGCCUUAAGCAUGCAGGUUAAGUGGCUACUGAAGGCAGUUUUUGUGGACAGAAACUGGUCCCAGCGUCAGAUCUGCGAUGCUGCCCAGGCAUGGUGGUGACCCUCUCUAAACAAGCACACUCAGAAUUUCCCUGGCUCGGCUGGGCGACUCAGAAGAAAACUGGCCAUCAGCUUCUGCCUCAAGCGGUGAAAAGAAAUUGCUGGACAUUGCAGAAAAAUCAGAAAAUGUCAGUAAGUUAAAAGAAAUCAGGCCAGGCACAGUGGCUCAAGCCUGUAAUCCCAGCACUCCGGGAAGCCGAGAUCACCUGAGGGCAGAUCACCUGAGGUGCUGUGGCAAGGAAGACAGAGCAUGUGUGUUGUGAACACUCAUUAGAGGAUCAUCCCUGCUGUGCCAGGUGCCAUGGCGCUGGAUGCAGAAAGCAGGACACAUGGAAAGAUGGUGUGUUCACAAAGAAUUUGGAAGAAAGCCAGAUGGUGACAAGAGUGUGUCUCUGAAUGCCCCUUUUGGGGGUCACUAAAAAUGCCCCAGGGUUUUUAGUUAGACCAAAAAGGAGGCUUCAAAGAGAUGACUUCUGAGCCGGGUUGUGAUACAUCUAGGAUGUCAACAGGCAGAGAAAGGGCAGGGACUGGGAGUAAGGAAAGAACAUCUGUUCAAGGCAAAACACUGAUUACCAAAGUUUCUAUCAUCCUUAUGUUGACAACGGACAUAAUUUUAACCUUUUGUAUAAGCCAGACUGUAAAGGAUUAUUAGCAGAAUAAAAGCAUCUAUUGGGCCUGGU